GAUGAACGCUGGCGGCGUGCUUAACACAUGCAAGUCGAACGAUGAAGCCCAGCUUGCUGGGUGGAUUAGUGGCGAACGGGUGAGUAACACGUGAGUAACCUGCCCUUAACUCUGGGAUAAGCCUGGGAAACUGGGUCUAAUACCGGAUAGGAGCGUCCACCGCAUGGUGGGUGUUGGAAAGAUUUAUCGGUUUUGGAUGGACUCGCGGCCUAUCAGCUUGUUGGUGAGGUAAUGGCUCACCAAGGCGACGACGGGUAGCCGGCCUGAGAGGGUGACCGGCGACACGAGUACUAAGAGACGGAGCAGAGUGGAACAGUAGGCAGUGGGGGGGAAUAUGGUACAAUGGGCGCGAGUCUGAGGCGGAGGCCUCGGGUUUGUAAAGACCGCUUUCGGGGUGUGAACCGCAUUAAGUUAGGAAGAAGCGAAAGUGACGGUACCUAAAGAAGAAGCACCGGCUAACUACGUG
RNAcentral lists this ribosomal RNA (466 nucleotides) under uncultured bacterium. RNAcentral describes it as "partial 16S ribosomal RNA". It matches the Rfam family "Bacterial small subunit ribosomal RNA", at positions 28 to 507 of the family's 1533-position model. The record is from RNAcentral.